UGAGGAAUAUUGCGCAAUGGACGAAAGUCUGACGCAGCAACGCCGCGUGAGUGAUGAAGGCCCUCGGGUCGUAAAGCUCUGUCGUGUGGGAAGAGGCUAUACGUGUAACGAACGUAUGGUGACGGUACCACAGAAGGAAGCACCGGCUAACUCCGUGCCAGCAGCCGCGGUAAUACGUAGGGGACGAGCGUUGUCCGGAAUUACUGGGCGUAAAGGGCGCGCAGGCUGUGCUGCAAGUCAGCUGUGAAAUAUCUGGGCUUAACCCGGUUAUGCGGUUGAGACUGCAGUGCUGGAGUGCUGUAGAGGCAAGCGGAAUUCCCAGUGUAGCGGUGAAAUGCGUAGAUAUUGGGAAGAACACCGGUGGCGAAGGCGGCUUGCUGGGCAGCAACUGACGCUGAGGCGCGAAAGCCAGGGGAGCAAACA
This 423-nucleotide ribosomal RNA is filed under the name uncultured prokaryote. Its description in RNAcentral is "bacterial SSU rRNA". It matches the Rfam family "Bacterial small subunit ribosomal RNA", at positions 355 to 774 of the family's 1533-position model. The record is from RNAcentral.